This 330-nucleotide ribosomal RNA is filed under the name uncultured bacterium. RNAcentral describes it as "bacterial SSU rRNA". It matches the Rfam family "Bacterial small subunit ribosomal RNA", at positions 361 to 690 of the family's 1533-position model. The record is from RNAcentral.
AUAUUGGUCAAUGGGCGAGAGCCUGAACCAGCCAAGUAGCGUGAAGGAUGAAGGCUUAUGGGUCGUAAACUUCUUUUAUAUGGGAAUAAGUUUUCCACGUGUGGAAUUUUGUAUGUACCAUAUGAAUAAGGAUCGGCUAACUCCGUGCCAGCAGCCGCGGUAAUACGGAGGAUCCGAGCGUUAUCCGGAUUUAUUGGGUUUAAAGGGAGCGUAGAUGGAUGUUUAAGUCAGUUGUGAAAGUUUGCGGCUCAACCGUAAAAUUGCAGUUGAUACUGGAUAUCUUGAGUGCAGUUGAGGCAGGCGGAAUUCGUGGUGUAGCGGUGAAAUGCU